UGGGGAAUAUUGCACAAUGGGCGCAAGCCUGAUGCAGCGACGCCGCGUGGGGGAUGACGGCCUUCGGGUUGUAAACUCCUUUCGCCAGGGACGAAGCUCUUUGUGACGGUACCUAGAUAAGAAGCACCGGCUAACUACGUGCCAGCAGCCGCGGUAAUACGUAGGGUGCGAGCGUUUUCCGGAAUUACUGGGUGUAAAGGGCUCGUAGGUGGUUUGUCGCGUCGUCUGUGAAAUUCCGGGGCUUAACUCCGGGCGUGCAGGCGAUACGGGCAUAACUUGAGUACUGUAGGGGUAACUGGAAUUCCUCGUGUAGCGGUGAAAUGCGCAGAUAUCAGGAGGAACACCGAUGGCGAAGGCAGGUUACUGGGCAGUUACUGACGCUGAGGAGCGAAAGCAUGGGUAGCGAACAGG
RNAcentral lists this ribosomal RNA (411 nucleotides) under Actinomycetes bacterium. Its description in RNAcentral is "Actinobacteria bacterium partial 16S ribosomal RNA". It matches the Rfam family "Bacterial small subunit ribosomal RNA", at positions 355 to 776 of the family's 1533-position model. Lineage: Bacteria; Bacillati; Actinomycetota; Actinomycetes. The record is from RNAcentral.